AGUAGAAGUUUCGAUCGUAAAGCUCUUAAUAGGAGACGAGUGCAGGUAAUCCUGCGCUUGACGUACUAACAAUAAGCCGCUACUCGUGCAGCAGCGCGUAAUCGUAGGGUGCAGCGUGAUUCGAUACUGGCGUAAAGCGCUGGCAGCGUUCGUUAGUCGAUGUGAAGCCCGGCUCACUGGGAGGUCAUCGAAACUGGCAACUUGAGUCAGAAGAGGGAGGUGGAAUUCAUGUGUAGCGGUGAAAUGCGUAGAGAUAGGAGGACACAGUGGCGAAGGCGACUCUCUGGUCUGUAACUGACGCUGAGGAGCGAAAGCGUGGGGAGCGAACAGGAUUAGAUACCUGGUAGUCACGCGUAAACGAUGUGUACUAAGCCGUUAGGGUCCUUGAGAUCUUUAGUGCUGCAGCUAACGCAUUAAGCACUCGCCUUGGGAAGUACGCUCGCAAGAUUGAACUUCAAUGGAAUGACGGGGGGCCGCACCAGCGGGUGAGCCAUGUGUUUUAUUUGGAAGCACGCGGAGGACCCUUACCGGCUCUGGCCAUCAUAGAACAUUCCUGAGAAUGAGGGGUUCCUUUCGGAGAUAGAGCGCCAGUUGGGCCAGGGUGUUGUUAGGUUGGGUUGGGGGAAUGUUGGGUUAAUUCCGUCAAGGAGGCCAACCUUGUCUUUUAUUUCCCACCAGUUAUGUGGGCCAUUUAAGGGGGCCUCCGGGGGCCAACCGGAAGAAAGGGGGGAAGGAGUCCAAUUCUCCUUCCCCCUAUGGCCUGGGGUACCCCCCUGGUUCCAAUGGCAGAACCAAGGGGUGGGCGACCCCAAGGGUUAACCAAUUCCCCAAAUCUGUUUUCAAUUCGGAUUGCCGUUUGCAAAUUGGCUGCGUGAAGCUGGAAUCGCUAGUAAUUGCGGAUCAGCAUGCCGCGGUUAAUACGUUUCCGGGCCUUGGUCCCCCCCCCCGUCCCCCCCAGAGAGUUGCAACACCCGAAGUCGGUGAGGUAACCGUAGGAGCCAGCCGCCGAAGGGGGGCAUUG
Molecule: ribosomal RNA, 1021 nt
Filed under: bacterium MAS8
Lineage: Bacteria
Description: partial 16S ribosomal RNA
Rfam family: Bacterial small subunit ribosomal RNA
Source: RNAcentral